AUCCAGCUGACGAGUCCCAAAUAGAAUGAAAAUCCCGCCCUGGAU
This 45-nucleotide non-coding RNA is filed under the name Schistosoma mattheei. The record is from RNAcentral. Lineage: Eukaryota; Metazoa; Platyhelminthes; Trematoda; Strigeidida; Schistosomatidae.